Paramuricea clavata is the source of this 536-nucleotide non-coding RNA. NCBI's taxonomy places the organism in Eukaryota, Metazoa, Cnidaria, Anthozoa, Malacalcyonacea, Plexauridae. The record is from the annotation of a GenBank genome assembly.
CGGGACCCACGAUUUUUUACCCACGACCCACGCCUUUUUACCCACGACCCACGCCUUUUUACCCACGACCCACGCCUUUUUACCCACGACCCACGCCUUUUUACCCACGACCCACGCCUUUUUACCCACGACCCACUCCUUUUUACCCACGACCCACGCCUUUUUACCCACGACCCACGCCUUUUUACCCACGACUUACGACUUUUUACCCACGACCCACGACUUUUUACCCACGACCCACGACAUUCUACCCACGACCCACGACAUUCUACCCACGACCCACGACCCACGACUGUUAGCUAGUCCCGUAUAUAAAAGGUCAAGUACGAUGUAUACAAACACUAAACAGCACAAGUCGAAGCGCCUUCGCUCGAAACGUCGAAGUUCUCCUUGUAUUUUUCAGGUAGUUGUAUCCCUAUCAAUCCGCAGCUUUCGCACAUAUUUCCUCCAGAAUUUCUAGUUGUUUUCAAUCGAUUUCAGUGUAAAAAGUAUCAAAUUUUCGACGAGAAAUUCCAAAUACUUUGUUUAUAUAGAAC